RNAcentral lists this ribosomal RNA (253 nucleotides) under uncultured bacterium. RNAcentral's name for it is "partial 16S ribosomal RNA". It matches the Rfam family "Bacterial small subunit ribosomal RNA", at positions 524 to 776 of the family's 1533-position model. The record is from RNAcentral.
UACGUAGGUGGCAAGCGUUGUCCGGAUUUACUGGGUGUAAAGGGCGUGUAGCCGGGCUGACAAGUCAGAUGUGAAAUCCGGGGGCUCAACCCCCGAACUGCAUUUGAAACUGUUGGUCUUGAGUAUCGGAGAGGCAGGCGGAAUUCCUAGUGUAGCAGUGAAAUGCGUAGAUAUUAGGAGGAACACCAGUGGCGAAGGCGGCCUGCUGGACGACAACUGACGGUGAGGCGCGAAAGCGUGGGGAGCAAACAGG